Molecule: transfer RNA, 69 nt
Filed under: Margarinotus merdarius
Lineage: Eukaryota; Metazoa; Arthropoda; Insecta; Coleoptera; Histeridae
Description: tRNA-Met
Source: RNAcentral
AAAAAGGUAAGCUAAUUAAGCUAGAGGGUUCAUACCCCUCAUAUAAAGGUCCUAGUCCUUUCCUUUUUA